GUGGGGAAUAUUGGGCAAUGGGCGAAAGCCUGACCCAGCGACACCGCGUGGGUGAUGAAAGCCUUCGGGUUGUAAAGCCCUUUCGUGCGGAAAGAACUGUUCCGCGGUUAAUACCCGCGGAAUUUGACGGUACCGCAGGAAGAAGCACCGGCUAACUCCGUGCCAGCAGCCGCGGUAAUACGGAGGGUGCGAGCGUUGUUCGGAAUUAUUGGGCGUAAAGGGCGCGUAGGCGGUUGUGUAAGUCAGAUGUGAAAUACUCCGGCUUAACCGGGGAACUGCGUUUGAAACUACACAGCUAGAGUACAGGAGAGGGAAAUGGAAUUCCCGGUGUAGAGGUGAAAUUCGUAGAUAUCGGGAGGAACACCAGUGGCGAAGGCGAUUUUCUGGCCUGAUACUGACGCUGAGGCGCGAAAGCGUGGGGAGCAAACAGGAUUAGAAACCCCAGUAGUCC
RNAcentral lists this ribosomal RNA (451 nucleotides) under uncultured bacterium. RNAcentral describes it as "bacterial SSU rRNA". It matches the Rfam family "Bacterial small subunit ribosomal RNA", at positions 354 to 796 of the family's 1533-position model. The record is from RNAcentral.